UACGUAGGGUGCAAGCGUUAUCCGGAUUUAUUGGGCGUAAAGGGCUCGUAGGCGGUUCGUCGCGUCCGGUGUGAAAGUCCAUCGCUUAACGGUGGAUCCGCGCCGGGUACGGGCGGGCUUGAGUGCGGUAGGGGAGACUGGAAUUCCCGGUGUAACGGUGGAAUGUGUAGAUAUCGGGAAGAACACCAAUGGCGAAGGCAGGUCUCUGGGCCGUUACUGACGCUGAGGGGCGAAAGCGUGGGGAGCGAACAGG
Molecule: ribosomal RNA, 253 nt
Filed under: uncultured bacterium
Lineage: Bacteria
Description: partial 16S ribosomal RNA
Rfam family: Bacterial small subunit ribosomal RNA
Source: RNAcentral